RNAcentral lists this ribosomal RNA (164 nucleotides) under Parasenecio bulbiferoides. RNAcentral describes it as "5.8S ribosomal RNA". It matches the Rfam family "5.8S ribosomal RNA". Rfam says of the family: 5.8S ribosomal RNA (5.8S rRNA) is a component of the large subunit of the eukaryotic ribosome. It is transcribed by RNA polymerase I as part of the 45S precursor that also contains 18S and 28S rRNA. RNAcentral also lists the same sequence under 2 other names. Lineage: Eukaryota; Viridiplantae; Streptophyta; Magnoliopsida; Asterales; Asteraceae. The record is from RNAcentral.
CUAACGACUCUCGGCAACGGAUAUCUCGGCUCACGCAUCGAUGAAGAACGUAGCAAAAUGCGAUACUUGGUGUGAAUUGCAGAAUCCCGUGAACCAUCGAGUUUUUGAACGCAAGUUGCGCCCGAAGCCUUUUGGCUGAGGGCACGUCUGCCUGGGCGUCACAC